UACGGAGGGUGCGAGCGUUAAUCGGAAUUACUGGGCGUAAAGCGCGCGUAGGCGGUCUGUUAAGUCAGCUGUGAAAGCCCCGGGCUCAACCUGGGAACUGCAGUUGAUACUGUCAGGCUGGAGUACGAGAGAGGGAGGUAGAAUUCCAUGUGUAGCGGUGAAAUGCGUAGAUAUAUGGAGGAAUACCGGUGGCGAAGGCGGCCUCCUGGCUCGAUACUGACGCUGAGGUGCGAAAGCGUGGGUAGCAAACAGG
This 253-nucleotide ribosomal RNA is filed under the name uncultured bacterium. Its description in RNAcentral is "partial 16S ribosomal RNA". It matches the Rfam family "Bacterial small subunit ribosomal RNA", at positions 524 to 776 of the family's 1533-position model. The record is from RNAcentral.